Molecule: unclassified non-coding RNA, 177 nt
Filed under: uncultured Helotiales
Lineage: Eukaryota; Fungi; Ascomycota; Leotiomycetes; Helotiales
Description: sequence contains ITS1
Source: RNAcentral
CAGAGCUUCGAAGCCUGGAGGGUUUACUCUUCAGGCGAGAACUCCACCCUUUGUUUACAUUACCUUUGUUGCUUUAGCAGGCCCGUCCUUCGGGGCCACCGGCAAUAGCUGGUCCGUGCCUGCUAGAGGACCUAAAACUCAUGUUAAUAAAGUUGUCUGAGUACUAUAUAAUAGUUA